CAGCAACCAGCAGCAGCAACCAGCUGGGUUCCCCUUCCACCCCCUUGGAAGCUUUGUUCUUUUGCUCUUCACAACAAAUCUUGCUGCUGCUCACUCAUUGGGUCCCUACUACCUUUAUGAGCUGUAACACUCACCACGAGGGUCUGCGGCUUCAUUCCUGAAGUCAGCGAGACCACGAACCCACCAGGAGGAACAAACAACUCCGGACGUGCCACCUUUAAGAGCUGUAACACUCACUGCAAAGGUCUGUGGCUUCACUCCUGAAGUCGGCAAGACCAGGAACCCACCGGAAGGAAGAAACUCCAGACACAUUUGAACAUCUGAAGGAACAAACUCCCGACACACCAUCUUUAAGAACUGUAACGUGAGGGUCUGUGGCUUCAUUCUUAAAGUCAGUGAGACCAAGAACCCACCGGAAGGAACCAAUUCUGGACACGAUAUGACUACAAAAUGUUAGAAGGAGCAGUCCAGAAAAGGAAACAGCAUGUGCAAAAGCUCAACUGUGGGAAGGAACUCAGUGCAUUCAAGGAAGAAAAAGUAGACCAGUGAGUCUCAAAUAGAGUGAAUUCAGGGAAGAAGUGCAAGAAAUGAAGAUGGAGAGUCAAGACAGAUCCAGGUGGUGCAGGGCCUUGUAGGUAACCCUUCUGAGGAAAUUAGCAGCUUUGACAAUGGAAAGUACUGUUUCAUCUGUCUUCCCUAUGAGAAGAGAAAAAAUAUACCAGCCUCCUCUGGAAGCAGCGAGGGAAAAUUUAAGAAGUU
This 759-nucleotide long non-coding RNA is filed under the name Homo sapiens (human). Its description in RNAcentral is "HSALNT0368687". The record is from RNAcentral. Lineage: Eukaryota; Metazoa; Chordata; Mammalia; Primates; Hominidae.